RNA transcript from Vicugna pacos (alpaca), 1948 nucleotides. It is a transcript of the gene named cellular communication network factor 6, with no coding region annotated. The record is from RefSeq and is a predicted model, not a curated record. NCBI's taxonomy places the organism in Eukaryota, Metazoa, Chordata, Mammalia, Artiodactyla, Camelidae.
CCCCAGGCCACCGCGGAGGUAAAUAAGAGAAGAGUCGCCUGAAAGUAAACAGGGUAUUAAAAGGCAUCCAGGAAAGCAGAGUCUGAAAGCAGGAGCACCAAGUCAGGAGCUGGGAGGUGGAGGCGUGGGUCCUUCCGCCAGGAGACAGAGGAGAGCUUUGUGCGGCGCCGGCCUCCCAUCUCCGGCUGCGGCGCGGGCCGGGGACAUGCGGGGCCCGCUCCUCUCCACGCUCCUCCUGGCUGCUCUGUCGCAGUUCUGCUGCAGGGCCCAGGGCACUGGGCUGCUCGACACGGCACCUGAAGGAAGGCCUGGAGAAGCGUCAGAAGUGCACCAUCGUAAACAGUUUUGUCACUGGCCCUGUAGAUGCCCUCGUCAGAAGCCCAGUUGCCCUCCUGGAGUGAGCUUGGUGAGAGAUGGCUGUGGAUGCUGUAAAAUCUGUGCUAAGCAACCAGGGGACACCUGCAACGAAGCUGACCUCUGUGACCCCCACAAAGGGCUGUACUGUGACUACUCAGCAGACGGGCCUAGGUACGAGACCGGAGUGUGUGCAUACCUUGUAGCUGUGGGAUGUGAGUUCAACAGGGUUCACUAUCAUAAUGGCCAAGUGUUCCAGCCCCAUCCACUGUUCAGCUGCCUCUGUGUGAGUGGGGCCAUUGGAUGCACACCUCUGUUCAUACCAAAGCUGGCUGACAGUCACUGCUCGGGGGCUAAAGGUGGAAAGAAGACUGAUCAAUCAAAAUGUGGCCUGGCAUCGUCACAACAGCAGCUUUCAACAAGCUACAAAACAAUGCCAGAUGCGUGCCAGGCUUUUAAUCUGCUUCCUGUGCUGUGGUCUUUAAACUGUUGCCUACAUUCCAGCUUAUAGGAAUCUCCCACUUAUAUGGAAAAGAAAAUGUCUUGUGCAAGCAACAAAGUGGACCCCUUGCUCCAGAACAUGUGGGAUGGGAAUAUCUAAUAGAGUAACCAAUGAAAAUAGCAACUGUGAAAUGAGAAAAGAGAAAAGACUGUGCUAUAUUCAGCCUUGUGACAGCAGUAUAUCAAACAUGGUAAAGAUCCCCAAAGGAAAAACAUGCCAACCUACUUUCCAACUCUUCAAAGCUGAGAAAUUUGUCUUCUCUGGAUGCUCAAGCACGCAGAGUUACAAACCCACUUUCUGUGGAGUAUGCUUGGAUAAGAGAUGCUGUGUCCCUAACAAGUCUAAAAUGAUUACUAUUCAGUUUGAUUGCCCAAAUGAAGGGUCAUUUAAAUGGAAGAUGCAGUGGAUUACAUCUUGUGUAUGUCAGAGAAACUGUAGAGAUCCAGGAGAUAUAUUUUCUGAGCUCAAGAUCCUAUAAAACCAAGCACAUGGGGAAAAGUUAAGGUUAAUCAUGUCAUUACAUUAAAAUUUAGGAUGGUUUUUAAAGGGUGGAAAAAUCUACUAUAUUGGCUUAAAACACUCAGAAUGCCUAGCUAGUCUCAGAUACCUGUAUUUAAGGCAUUGAAAGCUCUUAAAAAGAUUCUCCUAAAAAUAUAUGUAAACUAUGAAAACAGUAAAAUUGCACUCUUUAAAAUGUUUAAUUAUGUAAUACAGAUAUUCGUUUCCAUCUAUGUAUUCCAUAUAAUGGAAAAAUACAAUUUACAAGAGAACAUUUUAUUCUAUAAAAUCUGAAAUAAUUUAUUGAAGAUAUGCAAAAAGCAUAUUAUCUGUACUCUGACAAUGUGCCUAUGCUCCAAUCAGAUGAUAUAAUUGUUAUAGUAUGAGCAAGAGUAUAAAUUUAUUCUUAAGUAUAUUUACAGCUUAAUCUUAUUCCUAUUUACUAUUUCCACUGCCUUAUAUUUGAUUAUCAGGAUAUUUAUUAAGAUUUCUUUUGGAAGGAGAAAAAUGGAACUUUUGGCAACUGUUGACAACUGUAAUCUAAAAAUGUUUAUACCAAGUACUAUAAAAAUUUAAUUCCCAAGAUAAAGAGAC